This 462-nucleotide ribosomal RNA is filed under the name Sphaeripalpus sp. D2163. RNAcentral's name for it is "SSU rRNA". It matches the Rfam family "Eukaryotic small subunit ribosomal RNA", at positions 37 to 477 of the family's 1831-position model. The record is from RNAcentral. Lineage: Eukaryota; Metazoa; Arthropoda; Insecta; Hymenoptera; Pteromalidae.
UCAAAGAUUAAGCCAUGCAUGUCUCAGUGCAUGCCGAAUUAAGGUGAAACCGCGAAUGGCUCAUUAAAUCAGUUAUGGUUCCUUAGAUCGUACCCACAUUUACUUGGAUAACUGUGGUAAUUCUAGAGCUAAUACAUGCAAACCAGAGUUCCGACCAGAGAUGGAAGGAACGCUUUUAUUAGAUCAAAACCAAUCGGUGGCGGGUUCGCUCGUCCACCGUUUACCUUGGUGACUCUGAAUAACUUUGUGCUGAUCGCACGGUCUCGCACCGGCGACGCAUCUUUCAAAUGUCUGCCUUAUCAACUGUCGAUGGUAGGUUCUGCGCCUACCAUGGUUGUAACGGGUAACGGGGAAUCAGGGUUCGAUUCCGGAGAGGGAGCCUGAGAAACGGCUACCACAUCCAAGGAAGGCAGCAGGCGCGCAAAUUACCCACUCCCGGCACGGGGAGGUAGUGACGAAAAA